AUUGAACGCUGGCGGCAGGCCUAACACAUGCAAGUCGAACGAGUGGCGGACGGGUGAGUAAUGCCUGGGAAUCUGCCCGAUGGAGGGGGAUAACUACGGGAAACUGUAGCUAAUACCGCAUACCAUAGGAUGAGCCCAAGUGGGAUUAGGUAGUAGGUGGGGUAAAGGCUCACCAAGGCGACGAUCUCUAGCUGGUCUGAGAGGAUGACCAGCCACACUGGGACUGAGACACGGCCCAGACUCCGACGGGAGGCAGCAGUGGGGAAUAUUGCGCAAUGGGGGCAACCCUGAUGCAGCCAUGCCGCGUGAAUGAAGAAGGCCUUCGGGUUGUAAAGUUCUUUCGGUAGGGAGGCGUUACCUGCAGAAGAAGCACCGGCUAACUCCGUGCCAGCAGCCGCGGUAAUUC
Molecule: ribosomal RNA, 406 nt
Filed under: uncultured bacterium
Lineage: Bacteria
Description: partial 16S ribosomal RNA
Rfam family: Bacterial small subunit ribosomal RNA
Source: RNAcentral